This 253-nucleotide ribosomal RNA is filed under the name uncultured bacterium. Its description in RNAcentral is "partial 16S ribosomal RNA". It matches the Rfam family "Bacterial small subunit ribosomal RNA", at positions 524 to 776 of the family's 1533-position model. The record is from RNAcentral.
UACGGGGGGGGUAAGCGUUGUUCGGAAUUACUGGGCGUAAAGGGCUCGUAGGCGGCCAACUAAGUCAGACGUGAAAUCCCUCAGCUUAACUGGGGAACUGCGUCUGAUACUGGAUGGCUUGGAUUCGGGAGAGGAAUGCGGAAUUCCAGGUGUAGCGGUGAAAUGCGUAGAUAUCUGGAGGAACACCUGUGGUGUAGACGGCUUUCUGGACCAUAGCUGACGCUGAGACACGAAAGCGUGGGUAGCAAACAGG